CCUACGGGAGGCUGCAGUGAGGAAUAUUGGUCAAUGGGCGGAAGCCUGAACCAGCCAAGUAGCGUGCAGGAUGACGGCCCUACGGGUUGUAAACUGCUUUUAUACGGGAAUAACGCGCCUUACGUGUAGGGCUUUGCACGUACCGUAUGUAUAAGGACCGGCUAAUUCCGUGCCAGCAGCCGCGGUAAUACGGCAGGUCCGGGCGUUAUCCGGAUUUAGUGGGUUUAAAGGGAGCGUAGGCGGGAUGGCAAGCGUGCUGUGAAAUGUCCGGGCUCAACCCGGGCCUUGCAGCGCGAACUGGAGUGCUUGAGUCCGCGGAAGGCAGGCGGAAUUCGUCGUGUAGCGGUGAAAUGCUUAGAUAUGACGAAGAACCCCGAUUGCGAAGGCAGCUUGCUGCAGCGGAACUGACGCUGAUGCUCGAAAGCGCGGGUAUCGAACAGGAUUAGAUACCCUGGUAGUC
Molecule: ribosomal RNA, 460 nt
Filed under: uncultured bacterium
Lineage: Bacteria
Description: partial 16S ribosomal RNA
Rfam family: Bacterial small subunit ribosomal RNA
Source: RNAcentral